GUGCCAGCAGCCGCGGUAAUACGUAGGGCGCAAGCGUUGUCCGGAAUUAUUGGGCGUAAAGAGCUCGUAGGCGGUUUGUCGCGUCUGCUGUGAAAGCCCGGGGCUUAACCCCGGGUGUGCAGUGGGUACGGGCAGACUUGAGUGCAGUAGGGGAGACUGGAAUUCCUGGUGUAGCGGUGAAAUGCGCAGAUAUCAGGAGGAACACCGAUGGCGAAGGCAGGUCUCUGGGCUGUUACUGACGCUGAGGAGCGAAAGCAUGGGGAGCGAACAGGAUUAGAUACCCUGGUAGUCC
RNAcentral lists this ribosomal RNA (292 nucleotides) under uncultured microorganism. Its description in RNAcentral is "partial 16S ribosomal RNA". It matches the Rfam family "Bacterial small subunit ribosomal RNA", at positions 505 to 796 of the family's 1533-position model. The record is from RNAcentral.